This 356-nucleotide long non-coding RNA is filed under the name Heterocephalus glaber (naked mole-rat). RNAcentral describes it as "lncRNA (ENSHGLG00000032415.1)". Lineage: Eukaryota; Metazoa; Chordata; Mammalia; Rodentia; Bathyergidae. The record is from RNAcentral.
CUCAGGACGUUGCGCUUGCGAGGCAGAUGUGGAGCCACUGAGCUAAAUCCCCCGGCAUGAUCUAUUUGGAUUUUAGUUUAGUGUGUGGAACGUGGAGGUGUUCUAGUCCCCUCAAGUCUUCAACGCAAGUGAUAUUAUCAGUUAUUUGUUAUUCAUUAAAAUGCUUCAAAUUAUUCUACCUUGGCUGGCUAGAAACUCAUGAGUGUGGGAAGAUCAAACAUUGUUGGUCAAGAGCCAAAAUUAUCUUGGGCUAUCUCAGACCUUUUAAAAGCCAUUUACCUGGCAGAGGAGGCUUCCAGGCCAUUGUAACACCGCUCCCGGUGCAGAGGAGGCUUCCAGGCUGCCGUACCACUGCU